GUCCGUGCACAAUAAGCCGAUGCUCUGGAUGAUGAACACAGGAAGGAAGCAUGGUAGUGUGCACGGAGAAGGAGGAGGUCUGCAUGUCUGCUCGCUUUGAUGCCCUCGGGCUCUGAUCUCGCGGGCCUGGAUUCGACCUACACGC
Molecule: small nucleolar RNA, 145 nt
Filed under: Zea mays
Lineage: Eukaryota; Viridiplantae; Streptophyta; Magnoliopsida; Poales; Poaceae
Description: Zm_53
Rfam family: Small nucleolar RNA snoR100 (bases 38-145)
Source: RNAcentral